RNAcentral lists this non-coding RNA (190 nucleotides) under Ammoniphilus sp. CFH 90114. Its description in RNAcentral is "6S / SsrS RNA". It matches the Rfam family "6S / SsrS RNA". From Rfam's summary of the family: E. coli 6S RNA was the first non coding RNA to be sequenced, but its function was unknown until recently. Lineage: Bacteria; Bacillati; Bacillota; Bacilli; Caryophanales; Paenibacillaceae. The record is from Rfam by way of RNAcentral.
CAUAUCCUGCGAUGUGCGUUUUCCCAUUAUGUUUUAAACCGUACUGUUUUUUAGGGAUUCUUAUAUGGGUUGACCAAAGCCAUGCCCCCUCUUCGGACGUGGGAUCGCGAGAAGGUCAACAUGCGGAAACCCACCUGCAAGAGCGCGGGUUAAUAAAACAAAUAGGGAAGACGGCAUAGGCGGGACAGAA